GCAGUUUUUAAAAGAGUUUGUAAGGUUUGUCCAUCUAUUCAAAAUACCUUCGCCUGGGUGAAGUGCAAAGAUCGUAUAGAAUAUCUGAAACGACGUUACAGCGAAUGUGUGAAGCAUAACAAGAAGAUGGGGUCGGAUCCACAACGCUGCCCAUUCUUUGAGGAACUGGACUCUGUUCUUGGUUAGUUGCUACUUUUAAGAGUAUUCAUUUUCUAUUGAAAAAUAAUGAACAGUGUACAAAGUACCCCAGGGUUGGACAUACGGAUGUGUCAAGUUCAGAGGAAGGUGAAAAUUCUGGUAAGUUAGUUAUUUUUUCCCUUUACAAUAUGUCAAUGUUGCCAUUUAAUUAAUAUCUUGCAGCUCUGAAAUGUUCUAAAUGAUAUGCUUUGUUACAGGUACCAGUUCACACUCAUCUAGUAUAGCAGAGCCAUCAGGAGACCAAGCAGCUACGAUGACAGCAUCUGAUAAUGACAGUGGUCCAAGGUCAGAGCUGACCUCCAAUCCCAGCCAAAAUUCCAUCAUUACAAGGCGUAAACGCAAAGGCAAAAAAACUCAAAUCAUGGAAGCCAUGGAGAGAGGGAUAAACAUGUUAAUACAACAUGACAAAGAUACAACAGCAGCAGAGGUUAAACAGCGUCAUGACAAGGAGAACACAGCCUGGGAGAGACAGUUCCAGCAGGCCAGACUGGAUCUGGAAAGAGCACGUCUUGAAUUUGAGAUGAAGCGUCAGGAAGCUGAAGACAGGCGUGCUCGAGAUACCCAGCAAUUCAUGGUUCAAAUUCUGCAAGUGCUUAGACCUGCAAUGCCACAGUAUGGACCCUCAACUUCGUUUGCACAAUAUCAACAUCCAGCUCAGCACAAUUAUCCAUCUGAUCCAUUUGCUUUUCCACCUGGUGAAGCCUCACACCAAAAUCUGUCAAUAUCAGUUUUCCAAGAUCAACGUUCACUGUCUGACCAAAGAAAUGACCACUAGAUUUUCUGGGCAUUGUUUUUUUGCAAACGUUAUUGUGCAGUUGCACUUGUUUGUACAAGUUUAAAGAACUGUUCGAGGAACAAAAAUGUUGUAAAAAUGUAGGAAGUUUUUUUUUUGGCACUAUAUUACGUUUACAUUUUUGCACUUUAAUGCCU
Long non-coding RNA from Cyprinus carpio (common carp), 1128 nucleotides. NCBI's taxonomy places the organism in Eukaryota, Metazoa, Chordata, Actinopteri, Cypriniformes, Cyprinidae. The record is from Ensembl.